This 443-nucleotide ribosomal RNA is filed under the name uncultured bacterium. RNAcentral's name for it is "partial 16S ribosomal RNA". It matches the Rfam family "Bacterial small subunit ribosomal RNA", at positions 338 to 795 of the family's 1533-position model. The record is from RNAcentral.
CCUACGGGAGGCAGCAGUGGGGAAUAUUGGGCAAUGGGCGCAAGCCUGACCCAGCAACGCCGCGUGAAGGAAGAAGGCUUUCUGGUUGUAAACUUCUUUUCUCAGGGACGAAGCAAGUGACGGUACCUGAGGAAUGAGGCACGGCUAACUAUGUGCCAGCAGCCGCGGUAAUACGGAGGUGGCAAGCGUUAUCCGGAUUUAAUGGGUGUAAAGGGUGAGUAGGGGGGACUGGAAGUCAGAUGUGAAAACCACGGGCUCAACCUGUGGCCUGCAUUUGAAACUGUAGUUCUUGAGUACUGGAGAGGCAGACGGAAUUCCUAGUGUAGCGGUGAAAUGCGUAGAUAUUAGGAGGAACCCCAGUGGCGAAGGCGGUCUGCUGGACAGCAACUGACGCUGAAGCGCGAAGGCGUGGGGAGCAAACAGGAUUAGAUACCCGUGUAGUC